This 359-nucleotide ribosomal RNA is filed under the name Euscorpius sicanus. Its description in RNAcentral is "partial 16S ribosomal RNA". Lineage: Eukaryota; Metazoa; Arthropoda; Arachnida; Scorpiones; Euscorpiidae. The record is from RNAcentral.
GAAUGAAUGGUUUAACUAAAUACUCCUGUCUUAUUAUUAUAUUUCAAAUUUUAUAUUUUAGUAAAAAAGCUAAAAUUUAUAUUAAAGACAAGAAGACCCUAUUAAGCUUUAUAAUUAUAAUUUAAUAUCAAUAUAAACUAAAAAUUAUUUUACUGGGGCAGUAAAUAAAAAAAAAUUUUAUUUUUAUAAUAUGAAUACAAUUCUUGAAAAAUCAAAAAAUUUUUAAAAAGGAAUAAGUUACUAUAGGGAUAACAGCAUAAUUUUCUUAAAGAGUCCUUAUCAUCAAGAAAGUUUGUGACCUCGAUGUUGGAUUAAGAUACCUUUUUCAUGCAAUAAUAAAAUUAAGGAAGUCUGUUCGA